Molecule: ribosomal RNA, 376 nt
Filed under: uncultured bacterium
Lineage: Bacteria
Description: bacterial SSU rRNA
Rfam family: Bacterial small subunit ribosomal RNA
Source: RNAcentral
UAAGACGGAAGGUGCAAGCGUUACUCGGAAUCACUGGGCGUAAAGCGUCCGCAGGCGUCCUUCCCAGUCCGGCAUUAAAGUGCGGAGCCCAACUCCGUGAUGUGUCGGAAACUAGAAGGAUAGAGUCAUAGAGAGGCAUCUGGAAUGUCGUGUGUAGGGGUAAAAUCCGUAGAUCCACGAUGGAACGCCAAAAGCGAAGGCAGGAUGCUGGCUAUGUACUGACGCUCAGGGACGAAAGCGUGGGGAGCGAAGGGGAUUAGAUACCCCCGUAGUCCACGCCCUAAACGAUGUGUGCUCGGUGUUGGGAAUUCAAUCAUUCUCAGUGCCCCAGCUAACGCGGUAAGCACACCGCCUGAGUAGUACGAUCGCAAGAUUA